AGAGUUUGAUUAUGGCUCAGGAUGAACGCUAGCUACAGGCUUAACACAUGCAAGUCGAGGGGCAGCAUUGGAGUAGCAAUACUUCAGAUGGCGACCGGCGCACGGGUGAGUAACACGUAUCCAACCUGCCGCUUACUCGGGGAUAGCCUUUCGAAAGAAAGAUUAAUACCCGAUGGUAUAAAGAGUUCGCAUGUUCUCUUUAUUAAAGAAUUUCGGUAAGCGAUGGGGAUGCGUUCCAUUAGAUAGUUGGCGGGGUAACGGCCCACCAAGUCUACGAUGGAUAGGGGUUCUGAGAGGAAGGUCCCCCGCAUUGGAACUGAGACACGGUCCAAACUCCUACGGGAGGCAGCAGUGAGGAAUAUUGGUCAAUGGACGAGAGUCUGAACCAGCCAAAGUAGCGUGAAGGAUGACUGCCCUAUGGGUUGUAAACUUCUUUUAUAAGGGAAUAAAGUGAGGGACGUGUCCCUUUUUGUAUGUACCUUAUGAAUAAGGAUCGGCUAACUCCGUGCCAGCCGCCGC
RNAcentral lists this ribosomal RNA (519 nucleotides) under uncultured bacterium. Its description in RNAcentral is "bacterial SSU rRNA". It matches the Rfam family "Bacterial small subunit ribosomal RNA", at positions 8 to 518 of the family's 1533-position model. The record is from RNAcentral.